RNAcentral lists this ribosomal RNA (101 nucleotides) under Pogona vitticeps (central bearded dragon). Lineage: Eukaryota; Metazoa; Chordata; Lepidosauria; Squamata; Agamidae. The record is from RNAcentral.
CAUACUAGCUUGAAUACAUUGAUCCCAUUUGAUUUCAGAAGCUGAGUAGGGUCUGUCCUGGUUAUUACUUGCAUGGGAAACCGACAUGAAACAUACAGGAU